This 324-nucleotide ribosomal RNA is filed under the name uncultured eukaryote. RNAcentral's name for it is "partial 18S ribosomal RNA". It matches the Rfam family "Eukaryotic small subunit ribosomal RNA", at positions 1470 to 1796 of the family's 1831-position model. The record is from RNAcentral.
CCCUUAGAUGUUCUGGGCUGCACGCGCGCGACAAUGACGUUUGCAACGAGAUUGCGAGGCCGUCAGGUCGAGCUGAUCUUGCAAGCUGCGUCGUGAUAGGGACAGUCGAUUGCAAUUAUUCGACUCGAACGAGGAAUUCCUUGUAAUCGCGCAUCAUCAGUGCGCGCUGAAUACGUCCCUGCCCUUUGUACACACCGCCCGUCGCUCCUACCGAUUGAAUGUGUUGGUGAGGAGCUCGGAUUGGCAGCAGUUGGUGGUUCGCCACCGGCUAUUGCUGAGAAGUCCUCCAAACCGCCCCAUUUAGAGGAAGGAGAAGUCGUAACA